GGGGAAUGGCGGUGCCAAAAACGUCCAGGUCAUCACCACACCGACAAGAUUAGAAUUUACCUGAAUUUCGGCGGGCUCAAACAUAACGUUAAUAUCCCGGCGAGGAGACCCGCAAUGUAAAGGGAAUGGAGGUGCUGAACCUCCACACCCCAGGGCAUCACUACACCGAGAAGAAUUUGAGGACUCAAACCCAACGUUGAUUUUACGACGAGUAGACCCGCAGUAUAAAGGACUACACGUGAAGACAUCCUAACUAGAAAAGACCAUCCUCCCACGCCAGGGGUGCUUCCUUACCAUUUGCCGCGGGAUAGCUCUGCCGUGGGAGAAUGGAAAAGACACGCAAAGAGAAGGACGGUCUGUGCCAGAAAUAUGACAAGGAUGCAAGAAGCAGGGAAGGAGACAUGUGUCAGCUGCAGCAUCUUCCAGGACCUUCAACUACACUCAUGGGAAAAGGCUUUGAGGGAUGAAAAAAAGGUUAAUGAUUUGUGAUGUGCAUUAAGUAGCUUUUGGUACCAAACUUAGAAUUCCCUCUGUGUAUCUGAGACAUUUUCGACAGGGAUAAUCAAGUUUCUUGGUUGUUGGCAAGGUGUUUGAGUUUGCUUUGGUGACAUCCUGAGUGACAUUGCUGGUUGGGGGUUGGGGCAUUUUGAGGGUUUUGGCUCCUUUUGCACGCAUGGCUUUAGUCUGUUUCUGUGGGAUACAGGUCCGAUGUAUGGUUGAUUUGGUUUCUGUGACCAUGUUGGUGGCUGGGAUUGUGUUUGGAGUUGCUGCAAAGUGCAGUCCUCUAGAAAACGGAGACUUCCCUAAGUUCUGUUAGCCCAUGAUUAUUUAGGUAUCUUGUACUGCCUGACUUUCUUUCUGCAUUAUGUGAUUGUCAGUGGGUCGGGAACCCUGACCAUUACAUGAGCUGCCUUGUGAAUGAAAUAAUGGGGCGGUG
Branchiostoma belcheri (Belcher's lancelet) is the source of this 937-nucleotide long non-coding RNA. RefSeq lists it as uncharacterized. The transcript is spliced from 4 exons. The record is from RefSeq and is a predicted model, not a curated record. Lineage: Eukaryota; Metazoa; Chordata; Leptocardii; Amphioxiformes; Branchiostomatidae.